Molecule: RNA transcript, 2251 nt
Organism: Sander lucioperca (pikeperch)
Lineage: Eukaryota; Metazoa; Chordata; Actinopteri; Perciformes; Percidae
Gene: slc2a10
Gene name: solute carrier family 2 member 10
Exons: 7
Source: RefSeq, a predicted model, not a curated record
UUAAAACUACUGACUGGUCCUUUAACCUGUGAGCGGUGUGUUGAGCCUCUUCGGGACAUAUUCCUUCCCAAUAUGCUGGGAAAGUUGUCGACCUCUGGUGUCAAAACUUCGCCAAGAAGUUUUUCCUCUUACGACUUGACACGGCUGCCACGUAGCUCAGACUUCCAGGGAAGGGCCAGAAGUCUUCAGGAGCAUCUCUUUUUUAUCACCUCCGCUGUUUACGAGGAUGUCUUCCAAGAAAUGAAUCCUGUCCUUCACAGCCUGACUGAAAUGUCAAUGUAACAGGACAGAAGCAAUGGGUAGUUCCAUCCUCCUGUUGGCCAGUGUGGUGUCCAGUCUGGGCGGCCUGGUCUUUGGUUAUGAGUUGGGCAUCAUCUCAGGUGCUUUGCUGCAGCUCAAAGCAGAGUUCAGACUCACAUGUGUCCAGCAGGAGGCUCUGGUCAGCUCUUUGUUGAUAGGAGCUCUGCUGGCCUCCAUCGUGGGCGGCUGCUUGAUCGACCAUCGGGGCCGCAGGAACUCCAUCCUCCUCAGCAAUGUCUUGAUCCUGAUCGGCAGCCUGGUCCUGCUCAUCAACUCCUUCUCUGCACUGGUGGUGGGCAGGAUGACACUGGGCUUCGCCAUGUGUAUAUCCUCCAUGUCCUGCUGCAUCUUUGUGUCCGAGAUGGUUACCCCAGACCGAAGGGGCUUUCUGGUAACACUGUAUGAAGCUGGAAUCACUGUGGGCAUCCUGGCAGCUUAUGCUAUGAACUACAUCCUGGCUGACUCCAAAAGAGGGUGGAAGUGGAUGUUUGGAUUAGCCAUAGUACCGACUGUGAUUCAGCUGGUCUCUAUCUGGUUUCUUCCAUCCAGCUCGAAGGAAUCUUUAAGCCAAAAAUAUUGCUUUCAAACUGAAAGCGACCAAAUAAGUACUGUCGGAAACCAAGAAGCAGAUGACUCAGAAGUCAGCUCCAGCAUGGAAAGCAGGAAGGUUCAGUUCAACAGCAUUUAUCUUAUCCAGCGUAAAGACAACAUGAGGACUCGGACUGUCAUUGGCCUCGGACUGGUGCUCUUUCAGCAGUUCACAGGCCAGCCCAAUGUUCUCCUCUACGCUUCCACUAUCUUCCACUCGGUGGGGUUUCAGAGCAAUGCCUCGGCAGUGCUGGCGUCUGUUGGCUUGGGGUUAGUCAAAGUAAUCGCUACUCUGACCUCCAUGGUGUUUUCAGACAGGGUGGGCAGGAGGCCUUUGCUCAUCAAUGGGUGCUCUGUUAUGGCGCUGUGUCUGAUAACCAUUGGACUCCUCAGUGGGCAUUCAUUGAUGAAUGCUAAGAUGCCUUGUAAUUCUGAGGACCUUAACGUUAACCGAACAGAUGUACCUCAUUUAAAUGUUGGUAAUCGCUCAGUUUUUGACAUGCCUGAGAGCCAAAGACUCCUUAAUACCAACACACAGGAUCAAGAUGUAGUACUUGAUCAAGUUAGACAGAAACCACCGGACACUCCUCUGGCAUCUCCUCCUAGCGCCCAUGGCACAGUUGUGAACUGGAUCAUUCUUGUGUGUAUGAUGGCUGUCGUCAGUGCAUACUCCGUUGGAUUUGGACCAAGUUUGUAUAUUCACUCAAAAUUGACCUGGCUUCUCCUGAGUGAAAUAUUUCCACCCGCUGUCAGAGGAAGGGCAUUCGCAUUCACCAGCUGCUUCAACUGGGCUGCCAACCUGUUGGUCACAUUCACAUUCUUGAAUUGUAUUGAUGUGAUCGGUCUGUCUGGGAUGUUUCUUUUGUAUGGGAUGGCUGCUGUGGCAGCUGCGGCCUUCUUCUUCUUCAUGCUACCAGAGACCAAAGGGAAGACUCUGGAGCAGAUAGACAAGGAACUGCGUUCAAACAAGUUUAAUCAUAGCGAGGAGUGCUGUUGCAUCAUCAGCUGGAGAAACACUUCCCCACAGUACCAAAGAGUGCACUGUCAAGUUAGCCCCUCAGGGUGAUUAAUACUGACAGGCACUGACGUAAAAAAAAAACAUGAUGGUUUUAAACUCAUAUCAUACCAGCUAUCAAACUGGCUCUUUUUGGCAUUGAAACAUGUUUACAACAUAGAUAGACCUCCUUGUUUAACUUCACUGCAGUGUCACAAAGCUGAAAGCUAUUGUAAAUGACAUGUUGGGUGUGUUCAUUUACAUUUUUUGCUUACUACCAAUUCAGUUUACACUAUUACCUGUGAUCAUCAUCAUCAUCAUCAUUUGACCACUCUAGUUUGGGUCUCCUUCAGCAAUAAAAUUAAUAAA